Molecule: ribosomal RNA, 894 nt
Filed under: uncultured Chytridiales
Lineage: Eukaryota; Fungi; Chytridiomycota; Chytridiomycetes; Chytridiales
Description: partial 28S ribosomal RNA
Rfam family: Eukaryotic large subunit ribosomal RNA
Source: RNAcentral
CCCUAGUAACGGCGAGUGAAGCGGGAACAGCUCAAUUUUGGAAUCUCACUCUUUCAGAGUGCGAAUUGUAGUUUCUAGAGGCGCUUUCGGGGGUAGUCUGGGUUUAAGUCCGUUGGAACGCGGCAUCAAAGAGGGUGAGAAUCCCGUUUUUUGAUCCGGAACCUACUCCUAUGUGAUGCGUUUUCAAAGAGUCGGAUAGUUUGGGAAUGCUGUCCAAAAUGGGUGGUAAAUACCAUCUAAAGCUAAAUAAUGGCGAGAGACCGAUAGCGAACAAGUACCGUGAGGGAAAGAUGAAAAGAACUUUGAAAAGAGAGUUAAACAGUACGUGAAAUUGUCAAAAGGGAAACGCUUGGAACCAGUAUUGCAUUGCGGAAAUCAAUUGUCUACUAAGGCAGUGCACUUUCCGUUGUGCGGGUCAGCAUCAGUUUUCUUUGGAGUACAAAGCUGGACAACGUUGGCUUCGGUCUAGUUGCCAGUCAUGCUCUGGGGGAGACUGAGGACUGCAGCUCUGUAUUUGGGCCCUCUGUCGCCAUUCGAACGUUAUCUGCAGACAACUUGUUGAUUGCAGGUAAAAUUAGAUUGCACGGCGGACUCGGUCACAACUGAGCUUAGGAUGCUGACGAAAUGGUUUUAAACGACCCGUCUUGAAACACGGACCAAGGAGUCCAACACAUAUGCGAGUGUUUGAGUGGCAAACUCGAGCGCGUAAUGAAAGUAAAUGUAGGUGGGAUUCGUAAGAUGCACCAUCGACCGGUCUGGAUUCUUUUGAAAGAUCUGAGUAAGAGCAUAUUUGUUGGGACCCGAAAGAUGGUGAACUAUGCCUGAAUAGGGUGAAGCCAGAGGAAACUAUGGUGGAGGCUCGUAGCGGUUCUGACGUGCAAAUCGAUCGUCAAA